This 253-nucleotide ribosomal RNA is filed under the name uncultured bacterium. RNAcentral describes it as "partial 16S ribosomal RNA". It matches the Rfam family "Bacterial small subunit ribosomal RNA", at positions 524 to 776 of the family's 1533-position model. The record is from RNAcentral.
UACAGAGGUCUCGAGCGUUAGGCGGAAUCACUGGGCUUAAAGCGUGCGCAGGCGGCUUCGCAAGUCAGACGUGAAAUCCCCGGGCUUAACCUGGGAAUGGCGUUUGAAACUACGGAGCUGGAGUAUGGCAGAGGGGGGUGGAAUUCCACGUGUAGCGGUGAAAUGCGUAGAUAUGUGGAGGAACACCGAUGGCGAAGGCAGCCCCCUGGGCCAAUACUGACGCUCAUGCACGAAAGCGUGGGGAGCAAACAGG